GACAGAGGGUGCAAACGUUGCUCGGAAUCACUGGGCGUAAAGGGCGUGUAGGCGGAUAGAUAAGUCGGGCGUGAAAGCCCCAGGCUCAACCUGGGAACUGCACUCGAAACUGUUUAUCUUGAGUGCCGGAGAGGAAAGCGGAAUACCUGGUGUAGAGGUGAAAUUCGUAGAUAUCAGGUGGAACACCAGUGGCGAAGGCGGCUUUCUGGAACGCAACUGACGCUGAGACGCGAAAGCGUGGGGAGCAAACAGG
This 253-nucleotide ribosomal RNA is filed under the name uncultured bacterium. RNAcentral describes it as "partial 16S ribosomal RNA". It matches the Rfam family "Bacterial small subunit ribosomal RNA", at positions 524 to 776 of the family's 1533-position model. The record is from RNAcentral.